RNAcentral lists this ribosomal RNA (432 nucleotides) under Triticum aestivum (bread wheat). Its description in RNAcentral is "partial small subunit ribosomal RNA". The record is from RNAcentral. Lineage: Eukaryota; Viridiplantae; Streptophyta; Magnoliopsida; Poales; Poaceae.
AUGGAAGGGCAUGCCUCUAGCGGAGGUGGCUCGGUCUCGGAAACCACACAAACCAAUGACGCACUAUCGGAUGACCUCUUGGCAUGACUGAAUCUGCAAGAAGAAGAAGAUGACGACUUUGUGUGGGAGGAGGAGCUCCAGGAUCUGAUGACGCUGGCCAAGUGGCUGGCCAUUGCUAGGGUUCAUACCCCCAAGACCUUCAGUCCAAGAGCGCUGUAUGGUGAUAUGCGUGCGGCGUGGAAUCCAGCAAGACUGGUAGCCUAGAGGAGGGUCAAUGACAACCUUUUCACAAUGCAGUUUGGAUGCUUAGCAGAUUGGAAUAAGGCAAUGUUUGAAGGUCCAUGGCUUUUCAGGGGACAAGCAGUGAUAAUGAAGGACUGUGAUGGUUUUAAGAAACCCGAAUCCAUCCCACUGGAUAGAUUGACAGUGUGA